This 1479-nucleotide ribosomal RNA is filed under the name metagenome. Its description in RNAcentral is "bacterial SSU rRNA". It matches the Rfam family "Bacterial small subunit ribosomal RNA". The record is from RNAcentral.
AGAGUUUGAUUCUGGCUCAGGAUGAACGCUAGCGGCAGGCCUAAUACAUGCAAGUCGAGGGGCAGCAGGGGUAGCAAUACUCGCUGGCGACCGGCGCACGGGCGUAACACGUAUGCAACUUUCCUUCAACUGGAAGAUAGCCCGAAGAAAUUCGGAUUAAUAUUCCAUAGUUAUAUGAAAUGGCAUCAUUUUAUAUUUAAAGCUCAGGCGGUUGAAGAUGGGCAUGCGUUCGAUUAGCUAGUUGGUGAGGUAAUGGCUCACCAAGGCUACGAUCGAUAGGGGAUCUGAGAGGAUUAACCCCCACACUGGUACUGAGACACGGACCAGACUCCUACGGGAGGCAGCAGUAAGGAAUAUUGGACAAUGGAGGCAACUCUGAUCCAGCCAUGCCGCGUGAAGGAUGAAGGUCCUAUGGAUUGUAAACUUCUUUUGAACGGGAGAAAACCUUCGGUCGUGUACCGAAGCUGAUAGUACCGUUAGAAUAAGGGUCGGCUAACUUCGUGCCAGCAGCCGCGGUAAUACGAAGGACCCGAGCGUUAUCCGGAUUUACUGGGUUUAAAGGGUGCGUAGGCGGAAUGGUAAGUCAGUGGUGAAAUCUUGUGGCUUAACUGCAAAACUGCCAUUGAUACUGCCAAUCUUGAGUACAUUUGAUGUGGGCGGAAUGUGCCAUGUAGUGGUGAAAUACUUAGAUAUGGCACAGAACACCGAUCGCGAAGGCAGCUCACAAAACUGUUACUGACGCUGAGGCACGAAAGCGUGGGGAUCAAACAGGAUUAGAUACCCUGGUAGUCCACGCCUUAAACUAUGAUUACUCGAUGUGUGCGAUACACAGUACGCGUCUAAGCGAAAGCGUUAAGUAAUCCACCUGGGGAGUACGGUCGCAAGAUUGAAACUCAAAGAAAUUGACGGGGGCCCGCACAAGCGGAGGAGUAUGUGGUUUAAUUCGAUGAUACGCGAGGAACCUUACCUGGGCUUGAAAGUUAGUGAAUGCUGUGGUAACAUGGCAGGCCGCAAGGACACGAAACUAGGUGCUGCAUGGCUGUCGUCAGCUCGUGCCGUGAGGUGUUGGGUUAAGUCCCGCAACGAGCGCAACCCCUAUCUUUAGUUGCCAGCGAGUAAUGACGGGGACUCUAAAGAAACUGCCCGUGCAAACGGUGAGGAAGGUGGGGAUGACGUCAAGUCAGCACGGCCCUUACGUCCAGGGCUACACACGUGCUACAAUGGCGAGUACAAAGGGCAGCUACAUGGUGACAUGAUGCUAAUCUCUAAAACUCGUCUCAGUUCGGAUGAAGUCUGCAAUUCGACUUCAUGAAGCUGGAUUCGCUAGUAAUCGAAUAUCAGCAAUGAUUCGGUGAAUACGUUCCCGGGCCUUGUACACACCGCCCGUCAAACAAUGGAAGCUGAGGGUACUUAAAGUCGAUAACCGCAAGGAGUCGCCUAGGGUAAAAUCGGUAACUGGUGUUAAGUCGAAACAAGGUA